AACGAACGCUGGCGGCGCGUCUUAAGCAUGCAAGUCGAACGGCAAGAGAGGAGCUUGCUUCUCUCCUAGAGUGGCGGACUGGUGAGGAACACGUGGGUAAUCUACCCUUAAGAUGGGGAUAGCUGCUAGAAAUAGCAGGUAAUACCGAAUACACUCGGCAUAUCACAAGAGGUGUUGAGGAAAGGAAGCUACGGCUUCGCUUGAGGAUGAGCUUGCGUCCCAUUAGCUAGUUGGUGAGGUAAGGGCCCACCAAGGCGACGAUGGGUAUCCGGGCUGAGAGGGUGAACGGACACAUUGGGACUGAGAUACGGCCCAAACUCCUACGGGAGGCAGCAGCUAAGAAUAUUCCGCAAUGGACGGAAGUCUGACGGAGCGACGCCGCGUGGAUGAAGAAGGCUGAAAAGUUGUAAAAUCCUUUUGUUGAUGAAGAAUAAGGGUGAGAGGGAAUGCUCAUCUGAUGACGGUAAUCGACGAAUAAGCCCCGGCUAAUUACGUG
RNAcentral lists this ribosomal RNA (496 nucleotides) under uncultured bacterium. RNAcentral's name for it is "partial 16S ribosomal RNA". It matches the Rfam family "Bacterial small subunit ribosomal RNA", at positions 29 to 507 of the family's 1533-position model. The record is from RNAcentral.